Molecule: ribosomal RNA, 481 nt
Filed under: uncultured bacterium
Lineage: Bacteria
Description: bacterial SSU rRNA
Rfam family: Bacterial small subunit ribosomal RNA
Source: RNAcentral
UCCUGGCUUAGGACGAACGCUGGCGGCACGCUUAACACAUGCAAGUCGAACGGAGCAUAGAGCUUGCUUAUGCUAGUGGCGGACGGGUGAGUAACACGUGAGCAACCUGCCUUUCAGUGCGGAAUAGCUUCUGGAAACGGAUGGUAAUACCGCAUAACAUUACGGAACCGCAUGAUUCUGUAAUCAAAAGUAUUUCGCUGAAAGAUGGGCUCGCGUCUGAUUAGGUAGUUGGUGUGGUAACGGCACACCAAGCCGACGAUCAGUAGCCGGACUGAGAGGUUGAACGGCCACAUUGGGACUGAGACACGGCCCAGACUCCUACGGGAGGCAGCAGUGGGGAAUAUUGCACAAUGGGCGGAAGCCUUGAUGCAGCGAUGCCGCGUGGAGGAAGAAGGUUUUCGGAUUGUAAACUCCUGUUCUUAGGGACGAUAAUGACGGUACCUAAGGAGAAAGCUCCGGCUAACUACGUGCCAGCAGCCGC